Molecule: non-coding RNA, 21 nt
Filed under: Arabidopsis thaliana (thale cress)
Lineage: Eukaryota; Viridiplantae; Streptophyta; Magnoliopsida; Brassicales; Brassicaceae
Source: RNAcentral
GUUCAUGAGGUUGAUGAACAG